CUACGUGUGUUUUUAGUAAACAUAGUAUGUAACGGAAGCCCUGGUAGUAACGACUUUACUUCCACAUAAUUGUUGCAUGAAUUUCACGUAAAGUCUAAGUGAAUGAUUUAAAUCCGUUUUGUGCGUUUGCUUUGAGCGUGUGGUUGUAAAUUCUUAUUAGAAAAGGGAAUUAUCAGCCAACUGAUUUCGUUAGCUGUUGUAAAAUUUUUGUGUCUAAUGGAACUGUGGAUUCAGCUUUGUCUUUUUGCAAUGGACACAACUCAUCUUUCGUUGAACCUGGUGACGAUCACUCGUUUUAAGUUGAACUGUACGGAAAAGAUGUUAAACAGAACAUAUGAACGCAACAAAGGAUUCCAAAAACCAAGCGAGCUGCAGAAAUUGAGGGAAAAGUUAUAAAAUUGGUGU
Long non-coding RNA from Uranotaenia lowii, 405 nucleotides. RefSeq lists it as uncharacterized. The record is from RefSeq and is a predicted model, not a curated record. The transcript is spliced from 3 exons. NCBI's taxonomy places the organism in Eukaryota, Metazoa, Arthropoda, Insecta, Diptera, Culicidae.